RNAcentral lists this transfer RNA (73 nucleotides) under Bos taurus (domestic cattle). It matches the Rfam family "tRNA". From Rfam's summary of the family: Transfer RNA (tRNA) molecules are approximately 80 nucleotides in length. Their secondary structure includes four short double-helical elements and three loops (D, anti-codon, and T loops). RNAcentral also lists the same sequence under 1 other name. The record is from Rfam by way of RNAcentral. Lineage: Eukaryota; Metazoa; Chordata; Mammalia; Artiodactyla; Bovidae.
UCCUUGGCAAUCCAGUGGUUAAGACUCUGCACUUCUGAUGCAGGGGGCACAGGUUCAAUCCCUGGUCAGGGAA